This 700-nucleotide ribosomal RNA is filed under the name uncultured bacterium. RNAcentral describes it as "bacterial SSU rRNA". It matches the Rfam family "Bacterial small subunit ribosomal RNA", at positions 120 to 807 of the family's 1533-position model. The record is from RNAcentral.
GGUAACCUGCCCAUCAGAAGCGGAUAACACUUGGAAACAGGUGCUAAUACCGUAUUACACUAUUUUCCGCAUGGAAGAAAGUUGAAAGGCGCUUUUGCGUCACUGAUGGAUGGACCCGCGGUGCAUUAGCUAGUUGGUGAGGUAACGGCUCACCAAGGCCACGAUGCAUAGCCGACCUGAGAGGGUGAUCGGCCACACUGGGACUGAGACACGGCCCAGACUCCUACGGGAGGCAGCAGUAGGGAAUCUUCGGCAAUGGACGAAAGUCUGACCGAGCAACGCCGCGUGAGUGAAGAAGGUUUUCGGAUCGUAAAACUCUGUUGUUAGAGAAGAACAAGGAUGAGAGUAGAACGUUCAUCCCUUGACGGUAUCUAACCAGAAAGCCACGGCUAACUACGUGCCAGCAGCCGCGGUAAUACGUAGGUGGCAAGCGUUGUCCGGAUUUAUUGGGCGUAAAGCGAGCGCAGGCGGUUUCUUAAGUCUGAUGUGAAAGCCCCCGGCUCAACCGGGGAGGGUCAUUGGAAACUGGGAGACUUGAGUGCAGAAGAGGAGAGUGGAAUUCCAUGUGUAGCGGUGAAAUGCGUAGAUAUAUGGAGGAACACCAGUGGCGAAGGCGGCUCUCUGGUCUGUAACUGACGCUGAGGCUCGAAAGCGUGGGGAGCGAACAGGAUUAGAUACCCUGGUAGUCCACGCCGUAAAC